CCAACGACCAAAGCAAAGGACAGCAGAACUGACUGACACAGCUCAGAAAAUAUCCAAAGCUCUGUAUGCUCUGGAAAGGAAGACAAGAAAUGCUAAAGACUCUGGAUAUUGCUCUGUUUCUAUAAGGUCCCACCCAUAUACCAUCUCUUCUUUUGGAUUUCCUUUGGCAGGUGAGUCACUCAACAGACACAGCCUGAAGUUUCCCAUUACGGCAAAUGUUUCCCAUUAAUAUCAAAUUUUUCCUCUAUUAGGGUAAUGUGCUUAAGACAAAUUAUUUUCAUUUUUAUUUAAUUUUAAUGAAAAUCCCACUCUCUUUAUUGGCUUUGUGGAAUAAAGAUAAUUUGAAAAAGAGAGAAAA
This is a long non-coding RNA of Homo sapiens (human), 358 nucleotides long. Ensembl annotates it as CFLAR antisense RNA 1. Its record names the gene CFLAR-AS1. Lineage: Eukaryota; Metazoa; Chordata; Mammalia; Primates; Hominidae. The record is from Ensembl.